UGCAGUCGAGGGGCAGCGAGGGCGUAGCAAUACGCCUGUCGGCGACCGGCGCACUGGUGAGUAACACGUAUGCGACCUGCCCCCUACAGGGGUAUAACCCGUAGAAAUGCGGACUAAUCCCCCAUAGUCCUGGGUGCUGCAUGGCAUUCAGGGGAAAGGCCAGCCGGUAGGGGAUGGGCAUGCGGCGCAUUAGCUAGUUGGCGGGGCAACGGCCCACCAAGGCGACGAUGCGUAGGGGUUCUGAGAGGAAGGUCCCCCACACUGGUACUGAGACACGGACCAGACUCCUACGGGAGGCAGCAGUGAGGAAUAUUGGUCAAUGGGCGCAGGCCUGAACCAGCCAAGUCGCGUGAGGGAAGACGGUCCUACGGAUUGUAAACCUCUUUUGUCGGGGAGUAACGUGCGGGACGCGUCCCGUAUUGAGAGUACCCGAAGAAAAAGCAUCGGCUAACUCCGUGCCAGCAGCCGCGGUAAUACGGAGGAUGCGAGCGUUAUCCGGAUUUAUUGGGUUUAAAGGGUGCGCAGGCGGCGCGCCAAGUCAGCGGUCAAAGUUCCGGGCUCAACCCGGUGUCGCCGUUGAAACUGGCGUGCUCGAGUGCGUGCGAGGAAGGCGGAAUGCGUUGCGUAGCGGUGAAAUGCAUAGAUAUGACGCAGAACUCCGAUUGCGAAGGCAGCUUUCCAGCGCGCUACUGACGCUGAGGCACGAAAGCGUGGGGAUCGAACAGGAUUAGAUACCCUGGUAGUCCACGCAGUAAACGAUGACUACUAGCUUUCCGGGAUGAUUGAGUCCU
Molecule: ribosomal RNA, 791 nt
Filed under: uncultured bacterium
Lineage: Bacteria
Description: bacterial SSU rRNA
Rfam family: Bacterial small subunit ribosomal RNA
Source: RNAcentral